GCCAGACUGGUUCAGUUGGUGGAAUGUGUGACUCUUGAUCUCAGGAUUAUGGGUUCGAGCCCCACAUUGGGUA
This 73-nucleotide transfer RNA is filed under the name Ailuropoda melanoleuca (giant panda). It matches the Rfam family "tRNA". Rfam says of the family: Transfer RNA (tRNA) molecules are approximately 80 nucleotides in length. Their secondary structure includes four short double-helical elements and three loops (D, anti-codon, and T loops). Further hydrogen bonds mediate the characteristic L-shaped molecular structure. tRNAs have two regions of fundamental functional importance: the anti-codon, which is responsible for specific mRNA codon recognition, and the 3' end, to which the tRNAs corresponding amino acid is attached (by aminoacyl-tRNA synthetases). tRNAs cope with the degeneracy of the genetic code in two manners: having more than one tRNA (with a specific anti-codon) for a particular amino acid; and 'wobble' base-pairing, i.e. permitting non-standard base-pairing at the 3rd anti-codon position. The record is from Rfam by way of RNAcentral. Lineage: Eukaryota; Metazoa; Chordata; Mammalia; Carnivora; Ursidae.